AAGAAGGAAAAUCAAUUGUGAACAGCUACAUCCAUAAUGAAGUACUUCUUUUUUUUUUUUUUCCUCGUUAGCUGAGGGAUCUUCCAAAUUCAGUCGGAGAAAAAGAGCUUCAUGCAGCAGGAAGGAUUUGGAUUAGACAGUCAAGGACUUUUUCCCUGGGAAGUGGCCAGAGGAAGGUCAAAGAUUGAGGCUCAGUGAAGUUAUAUUGCUUGUUAUGGGUCACUCAGCUGGAAAGAGGUGGACCGAGAAUUCACACCCAAUGGCCUGGCACCAGAGUCUCUGCAACACAGUUUAGAUAUAAUAUGGAGAAAUGCUGGCACUAUUAUUAUCCCCAACUUAUAUAUGAGAAAACUGAGGCAUUGUUAUUCAGUAAGUUGCCCAACUUCACAUCACCAGUAAGUAGAAGAGGAGCCAGGAAUGGAAUUCAUGCUGUCUACUUCCAGAACCUGUCAGGUAAAGGGUAUUUCAGAUCUAGUGGUAGAAUAAAUGAGCUCAUGAAGGUGUGAUUGAACUGACCAGGCAGGUCCAGGGCACUAAUAAAGUUAGAAAGCCCCAUCUGACCACUUCAC
Molecule: long non-coding RNA, 569 nt
Organism: Orcinus orca (killer whale)
Lineage: Eukaryota; Metazoa; Chordata; Mammalia; Artiodactyla; Delphinidae
Exons: 3
Source: RefSeq, a predicted model, not a curated record